Molecule: long non-coding RNA, 244 nt
Filed under: Linum usitatissimum (flax)
Lineage: Eukaryota; Viridiplantae; Streptophyta; Magnoliopsida; Malpighiales; Linaceae
Description: long non-coding RNA (LUSI_LNC007389)
Source: RNAcentral
AAAACAAAGGUAAAUAGCAAGGAGUUAUGAAGUCAAACCCUAGAACCUCGUUUAUCCACACUAGAAAUAAUUUCUCCAAGAAUAGGCUCCGGGUAGGGAUUCCAUUCAAGGCAAGUAUUGCAUUGGACAUCGCAGCCAGCUGAAUUAUAUACAUAACUAAACCCAAUAUCCAUUCUAUUUCUGCUCCCUCCAAAAUAAAAAUAAAAAGUGAAAACAAAUAAUAACAAAAAUAAUAGGACAACGG